CAAAACAGGAAGGUCAUCGCUUCAGUUAUGAUGCUUGUCUCAUGGGAAAUUUAGAAGGAACACAACGCGAGAAUUUUUUGCAACACGGAUGUUUCAACCUCCAUCGUAGUCAGCAAAAUCAAAGAGGAAGCCCAUCUUUGGGCUUUGGCGGGAGCCAAGCAUUUGAGUCUUCUUAUGUCGCAGGAGUAG
Molecule: ribosomal RNA, 189 nt
Filed under: Triticum aestivum (bread wheat)
Lineage: Eukaryota; Viridiplantae; Streptophyta; Magnoliopsida; Poales; Poaceae
Description: partial small subunit ribosomal RNA
Source: RNAcentral